UCUGUGAUACAUCACUGACAUAUCACCUCAGACUUUGAAGUACUCUCUGCCCAUUUUUUGAGCACACCCUGGCAACUAGCUAUGCUACCACAUACUGUAUUGUCACAUGGAAUGCUAUUGGUCGGAAAGAGUUACCAGCAAGUUGGCACGUUGCCUCUCAGAGACUCCCAAAGCUGGUCACAGAUUCUGCUUCUUUUAUUUCUCCAAACCAAUAUGUCAAGAGGAAAACUUUCUCUCUUUCCUUUUUAGAAGUUAUAUAUGGGCAUUCAUCUCACAGCUUUUCAGAGACUGAGUUCUACACUGAUGUGAUGGAAGGCCUUUCACAGAGUUCCUCUGGAGCUCUUCACAAUGACUGUGUGCCAAUUCAGAUCAACGCUGGUAUGUUUGGGGAUGGCUUCUGGGACAGUUUUUAU
This 413-nucleotide long non-coding RNA is filed under the name Felis catus (domestic cat). RNAcentral's name for it is "lncRNA (ENSFCAG00000040510.2)". The record is from RNAcentral. Lineage: Eukaryota; Metazoa; Chordata; Mammalia; Carnivora; Felidae.